RNAcentral lists this long non-coding RNA (210 nucleotides) under Elaeis guineensis (African oil palm). RNAcentral's name for it is "long non-coding RNA (EGUI_LNC035344)". The record is from RNAcentral. Lineage: Eukaryota; Viridiplantae; Streptophyta; Magnoliopsida; Arecales; Arecaceae.
CACUUCAUCACACCCUUAAAGAUCUUAUCUCUUUUGAUCUUAGCCAUUCAAACCAAAAUCAAAGAUAAGAUGGACGUUGGAUGGAAGAAAGAAAGGAGGAAAGAUCUCACGUGCAAAACCAGCAUGCAUCCUCUUUCUCUAAUUUUUUUAUCACAUAAAAAAUACUUCUAUACUCUAAUCUGAGAGAUUUCUAUCUUAUUCUGAAUUAAA